RNAcentral lists this ribosomal RNA (497 nucleotides) under uncultured bacterium. Its description in RNAcentral is "partial 16S ribosomal RNA". It matches the Rfam family "Bacterial small subunit ribosomal RNA", at positions 28 to 507 of the family's 1533-position model. The record is from RNAcentral.
GAUGAACGCUGGCGGCGUGCCUAAUACAUGCAAGUCGAGCGAACAGACGAGGAGCUUGCUCCUCUGACGUUAGCGGCGGACGGGUGAGUAACACGUGGAUAACCUACCUAUAAGACUGGGAUAACUUCGGGAAACCGGAGCUAAUACCGGAUAAUAUAUUGAACCGCAUGGUUCAAUAGUGAAAGACGGUUUUGCUGUCACUUAUAGAUGGAUCCGCGCCGCAUUAGCUAGUUGGUGAGGUAACGGCUUACCAAGGCGACGAUGCGUAGCCGACCUGAGAGGGUGAUCGGCCACACUGGAACUGAGACACGGUCCAGACUCCUACGGGAGGCAGCAGUAGGGAAUCUUCCGCAAUGGGCGAAAGCCUGACGGAGCAACGCCGCGUGAGUGAUGAAGGUCUUCGGAUCGUAAAACUCUGUUAUUAGGGAAGAACAAAUGUGUAAGUAACUAUGCACGUCUUGACGGUACCUAAUCAGAAAGCCACGGCUAACUACGUG